CAGAUGUAGUUCAGUGGUAGAACAUUAGCCUUCCAAGCUAAUUAUACGGGUCCGAUUCCCGG
Molecule: transfer RNA, 62 nt
Filed under: bovine gut metagenome
Rfam family: tRNA
About the family: Transfer RNA (tRNA) molecules are approximately 80 nucleotides in length.
Source: RNAcentral